This 65-nucleotide transfer RNA is filed under the name Chloracris brunneri. Its description in RNAcentral is "tRNA-Gly". It matches the Rfam family "tRNA". Rfam says of the family: Transfer RNA (tRNA) molecules are approximately 80 nucleotides in length. Lineage: Eukaryota; Metazoa; Arthropoda; Insecta; Orthoptera; Tettigoniidae. The record is from RNAcentral.
AUUCAUUUAGUAUAAAUUUAGUACUUUUGACUUCCAAUCAAAAAGCUUGAAAUUCAAAAUGAAUA